Molecule: ribosomal RNA, 379 nt
Filed under: uncultured bacterium
Lineage: Bacteria
Description: bacterial SSU rRNA
Rfam family: Bacterial small subunit ribosomal RNA
Source: RNAcentral
UAUUGGGCAAUGGGCGAAAGCCUGAUCCAGCAAUGCCGCGUGAGUGAUGAAGGCCUUAGGGUUGUAAAGCUCUUUUACCCGGGAUGAUAAUGACAGUACCGGGAGAAUAAGCUCCGGCUAACUCCGUGCCAGCAGCCGCGGUAAUACGGAGGGAGCUAGCGUUGUUCGGAAUUACUGGGCGUAAAGCGCACGUAGGCGGCUUUGUAAGUUAGAGGUGAAAGCCUGGAGCUCAACUCCAGAAUUGCCUUUGAUACUGCAUCGCUUGAAUCCAGGAGAGGUGAGUGGAAUUCCGAGUGUAGAGGUGAAAUUCGUAGAUAUUCGGAAGAACACCAGUGGCGAAGGCGGCUCACUGGACUGGUAUUGACGCUGAGGUGCGAGU